UUUAAUGAAGCCCAACAUAGUGAUCGUUUCUGUUUGGGUUAAGAGAUCUUUUCUGUUAAGAUCUUUUCUGUUGGUCUGUGCUCUGCUUAAGAGAUUUUGGCUUCCUCCAGGGUCAUAAAGAUAUUCUCCUUUGACUUCUAGACACUUCAUUAUUUUACAUUUCAUAUUUAGGUCCAUGCGAUACCUCAAGUUGAUUUUUGUUUCUGGUGACAGGUUGACAUCAAGCUGUCCUUUUUGCCCCACGUGGAUAUCCUGUCUCUCCCACGUAUGUUCAGUCGCUCAGUCGCGUCUGACUCUUUGUUACCCCAUGGACUGUCACCUACCAGGCUCCUAUGUCCAUGGUAUUUCCUUCUCCAGGGGAUCUUCCUGACCCAGGAAUCAGAACUAUGUCUCCUGUAUUGCCUACUUGGCAGGCAGAUUCUUUACCCUGAGCUACUGGGGAAGCCUCCACCAGUAAGUAAAAAGACCAUCCUUCCCCAGUGGGUCACAGUGGGGACUUUGUCAUCAACCUUCUGGCCAGCUCUGUUCUCUGUUCCAUUACACCAGGCUUUCUGCCUUCUCUCUACCAGCACCGUAUCAGCUUCAUUACUGCUGCCUUAGAGCAAGUCUCUAUUUCUGUGAGCGUUGAGCCUUCAGCUAGCAUCUGAGAGGAGCAAAUGCAUCCAUCCACACCAAGACUUGUACGUGAGUGUUCACAGCUGCUCUAAUCACAACAACCAGACAGUGGAAACAAUCCAAACAGCCAUCAGGUGACUGCGUGAACUGUGUGUUCAUACAACAGAGGAAAACUUAGCAAUAAAAAGGAAUGAACUAUUGGACUCAGAGUAACUACACUGAGUGAAAGGAGCCAGACCAAAAAAAGCACACAAUUCUAGGAAAUGCAAACUUAUCUCUCCUGACCAAAAGCUGGUGGGUGGCUGGUCUAGGAAUGGGUGGGGAUGGAGGUGCGAGAGACGGGAGUCACCAAGAGGGAGGAGAAACUUUUGGAGGUAACAGUUUCAUAGAUAGAACUUUCAGAGGUCUAGGCUUCCAAUUACGUGC
Molecule: long non-coding RNA, 1041 nt
Organism: Bos taurus (domestic cattle)
Lineage: Eukaryota; Metazoa; Chordata; Mammalia; Artiodactyla; Bovidae
Source: Ensembl